This 465-nucleotide ribosomal RNA is filed under the name uncultured Klebsiella sp. RNAcentral describes it as "bacterial SSU rRNA". It matches the Rfam family "Bacterial small subunit ribosomal RNA", at positions 338 to 795 of the family's 1533-position model. Lineage: Bacteria; Pseudomonadati; Pseudomonadota; Gammaproteobacteria; Enterobacterales; Enterobacteriaceae. The record is from RNAcentral.
CCUACGGGAGGCUGCAGUGGGGAAUAUUGCACAAUGGGCGCAAGCCUGAUGCAGCCAUGCCGCGUGUGUGAAGAAGGCCUUCGGGUUGUAAAGCACUUUCAGCGGGGAGGAAGGCGGUGAGGUUAAUAACCUCAUCGAUUGACGUUACCCGCAGAAGAAGCACCGGCUAACUCCGUGCCAGCAGCCGCGGUAAUACGGAGGGUGCAAGCGUUAAUCGGAAUUACUGGGCGUAAAGCGCACGCAGGCGGUCUGUCAAGUCGGAUGUGAAAUCCCCGGGCUCAACCUGGGAACUGCAUUCGAAACUGGCAGGCUAGAGUCUUGUAGAGGGGGGUAGAAUUCCAGGUGUAGCGGUGAAAUGCGUAGAGAUCUGGAGGAAUACCGGUGGCGAAGGCGGCCCCCUGGACAAAGACUGACGCUCACGUGCGAAAGCGUGGGGAGCAAACAGGAUUAGAUACCCUUGUAGUC